GACAAGCACAGCCGUGUUUAGAUGAUGGAGCUGCAGCGGUGAGAGCGGGACUGACGAGGCCGACACACCGGGGAAAGAACGCUCCGUGUGGGGGGGGGACAACAGCACGGUCGGCGCUCACCCUCCAGUGCAGAAUAUAAACACCAUCAGCGACGCUGUUAUCAUCAGUCUUCUGUGCACUCCCGUGAGCUCGGAAGAUACACCUUUAACUGACAGCGAUGCAGGCUUUAUGUGGAGGUCCAGCUGAAUAACCGGGACUUACUCCGAGCUGCAGGAGGGAGCGGACACUCUCGCUGGAGAUGGACUCCAGAUGCUGCAGCAGCCAGCGUGACGUCCCGACAAAAUGCUGUCAGUGACAGCAGGAGCCGACGCACGGUAACCUGCAGCCCAGGCCUCUGUUUGAUAUGUGCCGGAUGAGUAACAGGAGUGUCUGGUGAGGAAAGAUGUGUUUGACAAGCUCACAAAUUAACAGCUGUAAUAGUAGCAGAUGUUUAUGUUGUGUAGCGGGACUGUGUGGUGUUUAGGGGUUGAUUCUGUUAGCGUGUGCUCUGCUGAUGCUCGGAUAAAGUGUGUGUCUGUGUCUCUGUGUGUGUGUGUGUGUGUGUGUGUGUGUGUGUGUGUGUGUGAUGUGUGAUGGGUGGAGUACCCAUCAACAAGUCAUUUCAUUCUGAAGAUGUACAGCUCCCAGAUAAAACCAGAAGCUGCUGCACAAAGCUCAUUUUCAUUCUCAGCCUCACUUCCUGUUCGAUGGUAUGACAGUAGAUUUAAUCUCGGUGCAAAUUCACUUUUUGUGAUCUUUUGUAGUAAAUGUCUUCAGGUUCAUCCUCCAGAGCUAAAAGGCCUCAUAAACUCUCAACUCUUGUGCUGGAUAUUGUGUUUGAACUGUGAAGCAGCAGCAACACAAUCCCCUAUAGAACAUGUCUGGCUGCAGGUGCGGAUAUUUUUAUUUAUACCUCAAACCCACUGAGACGCGUCGGCUGCAUGUAAUUAAAGAGACGUUUA
Cottoperca gobio is the source of this 1002-nucleotide long non-coding RNA. RefSeq lists it as uncharacterized. The record is from RefSeq and is a predicted model, not a curated record. The transcript is spliced from 3 exons. Lineage: Eukaryota; Metazoa; Chordata; Actinopteri; Perciformes; Bovichtidae.